This is a long non-coding RNA of Rosa chinensis, 624 nucleotides long. RefSeq lists it as uncharacterized. The record is from RefSeq and is a predicted model, not a curated record. The transcript has 4 exons. NCBI's taxonomy places the organism in Eukaryota, Viridiplantae, Streptophyta, Magnoliopsida, Rosales, Rosaceae.
AUUUCAACGUAAUUCAUUCAUUCUUUCAGAUCUGAGGUUCAAUUUUUUUUACCACUAAUGAUAUUUCAUAUUGCUUUAUUUGUUACUUGGAAAUUAUGUGCUCUUUUGUACCAAUUUGUUUUAUUUUAUUUGAGGACAUAACAUUUUGGUUCAGGCAGCAGAAAUACUGAAUGGCCACCUGCAAUAUGAAGUCAUCAAGACUGCGUUUCAGGAUGGUGGACUUUGCGCAAAAUAUGAGAUUGAGAAGGACUGUGCUAAAAACAGGGAACGGUUGAAUCACAACUCAUAGGCAGUUGCACGUCUUUUGAAGUGUGAUAUUUACAUAAAUGAAUGCAGGGUGGUUGCAGUAGGGAAUUCAGCUUCAGGAUUGAGGCCGUUCAGGUCAGUUGUGGAAUGCUGUUUUAUGAAAAACGAAGAUCCUGUAGCUGUUGCCAGGAGGUUAAAGCUGGAUCGUAAAGUGUCCCGAUUGAUGAAGAAAAUUCAAGCUUUGUGCUUGUGAAUGUAAUGGGCUGGUCUUGUACCAAAUAUUACCCCAAUGACUUGAAAGGAAGCAUUAACAUAUUUAUUGGACGUUAUGUAAUUUUAGCUCUUUCCAAAAUAAAAUUUACAGGCCACAUUUGAACA